Non-coding RNA from Nelumbo nucifera (sacred lotus), 826 nucleotides. The record is from RefSeq and is a predicted model, not a curated record. NCBI's taxonomy places the organism in Eukaryota, Viridiplantae, Streptophyta, Magnoliopsida, Proteales, Nelumbonaceae.
CAAUGAAGUCAUGAGCAUUUCUAUUCAUGUGUUUGGGAACGAUGUGAAAAUACCCUUAAUAUGGAAGUAAAUUUGAAAUCUUGUUAGAAUUUACUUCCAUCUUCGGGUGAAAAACUACUUCGAUUUUAACGAAGUAAAUAUUCACACCCAUUUCCAUCGAUGGAAAUAGGUGAAGACUUUACCUUCAUCUUCAACCUACGGUGACAGCAAAGGAGGCAACGAACUCCCUCCCUCCAACUCCAAGCUAUUCUCUCCCGCCACCGACCUCUUUCCCUCUGGUAAUCUCUUCUCUCUCAUCCUCUCACUCUCAUAUCGUCUUCUCCUCCUUCCUGCUCUCGUAUCUACCAGUCACCGCCGCUGCAACUCUUGGCAGCGAUGCUUCGGUGAUCUUUCUCUCUCUCUUCUCAUCCUUUCUCUCCAUCAAUCACUCAAUUCACCGCUCAUCGUCCCUCACAUUCUCAAACUAACCUCGACGGCGGCAUCAGCAUAUACGACACUGUUGGUCAGUUUCUUCAUCCCAUGUUUUCCACUCAAGCUACAACAGUGGUGAUUUCCAGUGAGGUAUCACCAUUUUCUCAAAUCCCAUUUAUACUCCGACAUCUACCUCCAAGAACAAAUGUUCCGAAUGUAGGAAUACUUCCCUAUUGCAACAUCCCACAUCAGGCUGAUAUAUAAUUCAGAGACAACGGUGGGGUUUUGUAGGGCCAUUCUCUGUGGAAUUUUUGGCUAACGACAAAUGUGGUAACAGGUUCAUCGUACCUCUUUCUUUUGUCUUUUAUAUAUUGUCAUCCGUUUUGUUUAACAUUGUUUGCUUCCCAAAUCUUCA